This 68-nucleotide transfer RNA is filed under the name Ovis aries (sheep). It matches the Rfam family "tRNA". From Rfam's summary of the family: Transfer RNA (tRNA) molecules are approximately 80 nucleotides in length. Their secondary structure includes four short double-helical elements and three loops (D, anti-codon, and T loops). Lineage: Eukaryota; Metazoa; Chordata; Mammalia; Artiodactyla; Bovidae. The record is from Rfam by way of RNAcentral.
UCCCUGGUGACUCAGUAAAGUAUCUGCCUGCAAUGCAGGAGACCCAGAUUUGAUCCCUGGUUUGGGAG